UACGGAGGUUGCAAGCAUUGUUCGGAAUGACUGGGCGUAAAGGGAGCGCAGGCGGCCAAGUCAGUCUGAAGUGAAAGCCCGGGGCUUAACCCCGGAAUAGCUUUGGAUACUGCCUGGCUUGAGUGUGCGAUAGGAAAGCGGAAUUCCAGGUGUAGCGGUGAAAUGCGUAGAUAUCUGGAGGAACACCGGUGGCGAAAGCGGCUUUCUGGCGCAUAACUGACGCUGAGGCACGAAAGCGUGGGGAUCGAACAGGAUUAGAUA
Molecule: ribosomal RNA, 261 nt
Filed under: uncultured prokaryote
Description: partial 16S ribosomal RNA
Rfam family: Bacterial small subunit ribosomal RNA
Source: RNAcentral